Molecule: long non-coding RNA, 500 nt
Filed under: Junco hyemalis (dark-eyed junco)
Lineage: Eukaryota; Metazoa; Chordata; Aves; Passeriformes; Passerellidae
Description: lncRNA (ENSJHYG00000007157.1)
Source: RNAcentral
GCAGAAAAUCAGAGACACAGUAACUAGCAGCCAAGCCAGCUGCUAACUCAAGUGAAAAUGCAAGCCAGCUAGCAAGGGCUGAACAUUGCAGCAAGAGAGCAUUAUUUUAUUCCUCUUGAAACAUUUUUUGGAGGUGUAAAUCAGUGAAUUCUAUUCUACCCCACUUUAAAGCUGAAAAAGGAACUACAGAGGAAUCCUCAGUUUUGGGUCAGGGUUGUUGAGUUGUGAUGGCAGCAGGAUCUCAGCCCUGGGAAAGAUUACAAUCUCAUUAUUAGUCAAGAGGAAGCAGGAAAGGGAAAGCUUGUAACAAAUGAGGUACAAAAGUGAAACAGGAGAUAAUUAUUAAUUGAAUUACUAUUUUAAGGUGAGGUCACACACGACUACAAACAAAAUUUCAAUGUAGAAAUCUGUAUGAGUAACACUAAAACAGUCCAACUGAUAAAAUAUUUUAACUAAUGUAAGACUUUCCUCAAGAAUUUUACUCAUAUGUAUUUAUAUAG